RNAcentral lists this ribosomal RNA (492 nucleotides) under uncultured bacterium. RNAcentral's name for it is "partial 16S ribosomal RNA". It matches the Rfam family "Bacterial small subunit ribosomal RNA", at positions 29 to 507 of the family's 1533-position model. The record is from RNAcentral.
AGUGAACGCUGGCGGUAGGCCUAACACAUGCAAGUCGAACGGCAGCACAGUAAGAGCUUGCUCUUACGGGUGGCGAGUGGCGGACGGGUGAGGAAUACAUCGGAAUCUACUUUUUCGUGGGGGAUAACGUAGGGAAACUUACGCUAAUACCGCAUACGACCUACGGGUGAAAGCAGGGGAUCUUCGGACCUUGCGCGAUUGAAUGAGCCGAUGUCGGAUUAGCUAGUUGGCGGGGUAAAGGCCCACCAAGGCGACGAUCCGUAGCUGGUCUGAGAGGAUGAUUCGGCACACUGGAACUGAGGCACGGUCCAGACUCCUACGGGGGGCCACAGUGGGGAAUAUUUGGCAAUGGGCGCAAGCCUGAUCCAGCCAUACCGCGUGGGUGAAGAAGGCCUUCGGGUUGUAAAGCCCUUUUGUUGGGAAAGAAAAGCAGCAGGUUAAUACCCCGCUGUUCUGACGGUACCCAAAGAAUAAGCACCGGCUAACUUCGUG